Molecule: ribosomal RNA, 796 nt
Filed under: uncultured archaeon
Lineage: Archaea
Also listed under: 1 other name
Description: bacterial SSU rRNA
Rfam family: Archaeal small subunit ribosomal RNA
Source: RNAcentral
ACGGCUCAGUAACACGUGGAUAACCUGCCCUUGGGACCGGCAUAACCCCGGGAAACUGGGGAUAAUUCCGGAUACCGCAUAUAUGCUGGAAUGCUUUAUGCGUGAAAUGGAUUCGUCUGCCCAAGGAUGGGUCUGCGGCCUAUCAGGUAGUAGUGGGUGUAAUGUACCUACUAGCCUACAACGGGUACGGGUUGUGAGAGCAAGAGCCCGGAGAUGGAUUCUGAGACAUGAAUCCAGGCCCUACGGGGCGCAGCAGGCGCGAAAACUUUACAAUGCGGGAAACCGUGAUAAGGGGACACCGAGUGCCAGCAUCAUAUGCUGGCUGUCCAGGUGUGUAAAAUACACCUGUUAGCAAGGGCCGGGCAAGACCGGUGCCAGCCGCCGCGGUAACACCGGCGGCCCGAGUGGUGAUCGUGAUUAUUGGGUCUAAAGGGUCCGUAGCCGGUUUGGUCAGUCCUCCGGGAAAUCUGACAGCUCAACUGUUAGGCUUUCGGGGGAUACUGCCAGACUUGGAACCGGGAGAGGUAAGAGGUACUACAGGGGUAGGAGUGAAAUCUUGUAAUCCCUGUGGGACCACCUGUGGCGAAGGCGUCUUACCAGAACGGGUUCGACGGUGAGGGACGAAAGCUGGGGGCACGAACCGGAUUAGAUACCCGGGUAGUCCCAGCCGUAAACGAUGCUCGCUAGGUGUCAGGCAUGGCGCGACCGUGUCUGGUGCCGCAGGGAAGCCGUGAAGCGAGCCACCUGGGAAGUACGGCCGCAAGGCUGAAACUUAAAGGAAUUGGCGGGGGAGCAC